RNAcentral lists this ribosomal RNA (373 nucleotides) under uncultured bacterium. Its description in RNAcentral is "bacterial SSU rRNA". It matches the Rfam family "Bacterial small subunit ribosomal RNA", at positions 521 to 896 of the family's 1533-position model. The record is from RNAcentral.
UAAUACGAAGGAUGCAAGCGUUAUCCGGAUUCACUGGGUUUAAAGGGUGUGCAGGUGGGGUAAUAAGUCAGUGGUGAAAGCCCCCGACUCAAUCGGGGAACUGCCAUAGAUACUGUUAUUCUUGAGUGUGGUUGAGGUGGAUGGAAUAUGACAUGUAGCGGUGAAAUGCUUAGAUAUGUCAUAGAACACCGAUCGCGAAGGCAGUCCGCCAAACCAUUACUGACACUGAAACACGAAAGUGCGGGGAUCAAACAGGAUUAGAUACCCUGGUAGUCCGCACCGUAAACGAUGAUCACUCGUUGUUGGCGAUACACAGUCAGCGACUAAGCGAAAGCAUUAAGUGAUCCACCUGGGAAGUACGACCGCAAGGUUG